RNAcentral lists this unclassified non-coding RNA (347 nucleotides) under soil metagenome. RNAcentral describes it as "partial contains 5.8S ribosomal RNA, internal transcribed spacer 2, and large subunit ribosomal RNA". The stretch from base 1 to 120 matches the Rfam family "5.8S ribosomal RNA", at positions 35 to 154 of the family's 154-position model. The record is from RNAcentral.
GAUGAAGAACGCAGCGAAAUGCGAUAAGUAAUGUGAAUUGCAGAAUUCAGUGAAUCAUCGAGUCUUUGAACGCACAUUGCGCCCCCUGGUAUUCCGGGGGGCAUGCCUGUCCGAGCGUCAUUGCUGCCCUCAAGCACGGCUUGUGUGUUGGGCCCCCGUCCCCGGUUUCCCCCGGGGACGGGCCCGAAAGGCAGCGGCGGCACCGCGUCCGGUCCUCGAGCGUAUGGGGCUUUGUCACCCGCUCUGUAGGCCCGGCCGGCGCCAGCCGACACCCAACUUUAUUUCUAAGGUUGACCUCGGAUCAGGUAGGGAUACCCGCUGAACUUAAGCAUAUCAUAAGCGGAGGA